Molecule: ribosomal RNA, 494 nt
Filed under: uncultured bacterium
Lineage: Bacteria
Description: partial 16S ribosomal RNA
Rfam family: Bacterial small subunit ribosomal RNA
Source: RNAcentral
GACGAACGCUGGCGGCGUGCCUAAUACAUGCAAGUAGAACGCUGAAGGAGGAGCUUGCUCUUCUGGAUGAGUUGCGAACGGGUGAGUAACGCGUAGGUAACCUGCCUGGUAGCGGGGGAUAACUAUUGGAAACGAUAGCUAAUACCGCAUAAAAUUGAUUAUUGCAUGAUAGUCAAUUAAAAGGUGCAAUUGCAUCACUACCAGAUGGACCUGCGUUGUAUUAGCUAGUUGGUGAGGUAACGGCUCACCAAGGCAACGAUACAUAGCCGACCUGAGAGGGUGAUCGCCCACACUGGGACUGAGACACGGCCCAGACUCCUACGGGAGGCAGCAGUAGGGAAUCUUCGGCAAUGGACGGAAGUCUGACCGAGCAACCCCGCGUGAGUGAAGAAGGUUUUCGGAUCGUAAAGCUCUGUUGUAAGGGAAAAACGGUUGGGGGGGGGGAAAGUCCAAACUGUGCCGGUAUUUUACCAAAAAGGGACGGCUACCUACGU